CAGUAGCCGCGGUAAUACAGAGGGUGCGAGCGUUAAUCGGAUUUACUGGGCGUAAAGCGUGCGUAGGCGGCUUCUUAAGUCGGAUGUGAAAUCCCUGAGCUUAACUUAGGAAUUGCAUUCGAUACUGGGAAGCUAGAGUAUGGGAGAGGAUGGUAGAAUUCCAGGUGUAGCGGUGAAAUGCGUAGAGAUCUGGAGGAAUACCGAUGGCGAAGGCAGCCAUCUGGCCUAAUACUGACGCUGAGGUACGAAAGCAUGGGGAGCAAACAGGAUUAGAUACCCCUGUAGUCCUUGUCUCUUAUAA
Molecule: ribosomal RNA, 301 nt
Filed under: uncultured bacterium
Lineage: Bacteria
Description: partial 16S ribosomal RNA
Rfam family: Bacterial small subunit ribosomal RNA
Source: RNAcentral